UUAAAAUUGUUCAGUGGAGCCAUGUUAUAGGUCUACAAUUCCUCACAAUAAAGUAAAGACGAGUUGAUAUACGUAAAAGUUUAAUAAUUUACACCUACAAAUCAUGAAGUGAAGGCCCUCAUUUUUUUCUUACUUUGAUCGUGAUUUUAAUCAAAAUACAAAUAUGGCGAUUUUGAGGAUGAAAUAAACGAAGGAUUUCGGUAAUUGGUAUAUUCGUCGGUUGAAAUUUUAUCAAGGAAUCUAGGAUGAUUGUUGUUUCAGUACUCGUACUUGUUUCAUGUAUUCACAACCACAUUCUGCCCACAGAUGGCCAAAAUGUUCAUGAAAAUGAAACGAUUUCUCCAAUUCCCAACUACGAAUUCGUUCCAGGAAUGAUAUCAAAAAAACUCUACGACGAGAUGCAUUCUGAGUGCUUAGAAAUUGAAGGAAAUGUGCUAACUUUAGUACAACAAAUUCAAGCACUUCGAGCUGAGCCAAUAAGUUACUACGAAAAAAUAGCUGAGGGAAUAGCAAAAGAACAGGAGAAUGAAAUGGCACAAGGCACAACGACAACAAACCAUCCAAAUCCAAGUGAAUCAAAUGUGACAGAGAAUGUAACACUUGUUGAAUCUACAAAUAAUACAGUAGUGCAAAAACUAAAACAACAGUUGAAAGAUGCUCUCGAACAAAAUCAACAACUGCAAAAACAAGUUAAUGAUUUGAAAACAGAAAAUAAUACAUUGAACCAUUAUCUCUAUCAAUUCAAAUGGAAAAUAUUUCUAAAGAAUGUGAUACACAGUCAUGAACAAAAUUUAGACAAUCUGGAAUUAUUAAAGAUUUAUCAGCCUUUAUUCCAAAUAAAUGAAACACUUUUAAACGAAACACACGAAUCUUGGAGAUACGACAAGUUAGCAGAAGUAAGAAGACAACGCUGGGAAUUUUACCUCUCAACACCCCCUUACUGUAAAACUUAUUUUAGACGUUUGGUGAAACGUAUCAAUGAAAGUGAAUACACCGUACAAGAAUUCUCCAAAGCAGUAGCGAGAUUCUACAAAAUAAUAUCAUUCGAUCCGUUUUUGGAAACUGUUAAACCAUCUAUACUUAGCGAUGGUGGUGAAUAUUUAUCCUACUACCCGAAAUUAAAUUUUAUUGUUCCUUUAUUAACUGCCGAUUAUCUUAAAACUACGACGAUGAUAAAACAUAUGUGUGAUGAGGUGAAAUCAGGUAAACCACCUGAGAUUAUUUACGAAUACAUAAUGUAUUAGCCCACACAGUGGUAUGCAGAGGUUCUUUUCUCAAUUUGAAAUGAUAAGAUUUACUUGCUGUGAUUACUUUAUAAAUUUCCUACUUCUUAUCAUUACCUACCUACCUACUUCUCAAGUCAGUUUAUGUAAGCUUAAUUAAAAUGUAAGUAUAUUAGUAUUUCUAAUCUAUAAAAUAUACAUAUCAGUUCUUUUUUAUCCGAUUGAAAGUUGAUUACUUCACUCCUCAGAUGAUCGUUACUUUACCUCUGCUUGUUUCAUUUGCCCAUAUCCUGCUCAUAAAUGGAGAAAAUUUCAACAAGAAUGAAACGAUUUUUCCAACUUGCGACCACGAAGGGGUCCCAGGAAUGAUAUCAAGAGCAGCCUACAAUAAAAGGCAAGCCGAAUGCCAGAAAGCUGAAAGCACCGUUUUUCGUCUAGAACGACAAAUACAAGAGCUACGAGACCUUCAUCUAGCUGAGAAAAUGCGACCUGAAGAAAAGGCAAACAAAACGAUCGAAACGAUGAUGAAUAAUACGAGUAUUAGUAUUACUGAAGAGCAAAGACUCAGGCAACAGUUGAAGGAAGUAUACCAACAAAAUCGUCAGCUCCCAAAAGACGUAAAAGAUUUGACAAGAGAAAUUAAUACAACCAAUCAUUACCUAUAUCAAUUCAAAUGGAAAAUACUCAUGCAGCGAGUAAUACACGAUUACGAAGAACAUUUCGAUAAACUGCGCUGGACAUGUACCCAACCAGUCUUCCAAUUAAACCAAACACUUAUAAAUCUGACGAUUGAAUCUUACGAUAAGUUGACUGAACUCAGAAGACUACGGUGGGAAUUUCAUCUAAAAACACCCCCUUAUUGCGAAGUUUAUUUCGGUGCUCUAGUGAAACGAAUUAAAGAAAGUAAAUUCACAGUGGAAGAAUUCUGUAGAACGUUAGCUUCAUUUUACAAAGAUGUAUCACUUAACUCCCAUUUGGAAACUGUACUGACAUCUAAGAAUACUGUAGGAUAUUUUUCCAAUUGCGGAAAAAUGAAGUUAAUUGUUCCUUUGUUAUUGGCUGACUAUCCUAGAACUAAAUUGAUCGAGAUUAUUCUCAGUGAAGUGGAGUCAGGUCAGGUUAACCUACUGGGAUAAAUUAAUCUAUACAGGCCUAAUUAUCACAAUUUUCUUAUCACUGCUUUUCGAAGCAUUAAUUAAAAUGUACACUCAACACUGUACCUAUUGAUAAUUUAAAAUAUGCAUGUUUAUUCAGUAUUCUAGGUAGUUUUUAUCCAAGUAUAUUUAUUUCAACACUAAAGCAUGUUAAGGGUGAUUUUUACUUUAUUUCUGCUUGUUUCAUUUAUCCAUAUUGUGCCCACAAAUGGAAAAAAUAAUAAUAAGAAUAAAACGAUAUUUUCUCCUCGCAGCCGCCAACCGAUUGUUCCAGGAAUGAUAUCAAAAAUACUCUACAGCAAAAGACUAGCUAAAUGUCAGAGGAUGGAAAGUAGAGGUUUUUAUCUAGAACAUCGAGUAGAAGAACUACGAGCCCAUCCAGUUGAAGAAAUGUCAGAAGAAAAGACAAACGAAGUCAUCGAAAUGACAACAAACAAUCCAAAUGGAUCUUCCACGACAAAUAAUUUAACCCUUGGAUACACUUGUACGAAUAAUAGUGAUGAUGAGGAGCAAAGACUGAGGAGAGAGUUAUUUUUAAUAGAUGAAGAAAAUUGUCAACUCCAAAUAGAUGCGAAAAAUCUGAGCAAAGAAAUAAAUGCAACUCACGUUCAUUUUUAUCAAUUCAAAUGGAAAGUACUCAUGAAGCUGGUGAUGGACGAAUACGAAGAGCAUUUCGAAAAACUCCACUUGAAAUACUCUCAACCGAGCUUUCAAUUAGAUGAGCCAAAGUUAAACGAUACAUUCGAUUAUUACGAGGAUUCGCAUUUUGUAGAAAUACGAAAGCAAAGAUGGGAAUUUUACCUCAAAACGCCUCCGUACUGUAUUUAUUUCGAUCGUUUAGUGAAACGUAUAGAAAAAAGUGAUUUCACGCUGGAAGAAUUUUGCGGAAGAAUGGCGAAGUUCUAUAGAGAAAUAUCGUAUAAUUUUUACGCUGUACCUAUGGCUAGUCGAACGAUGCAAACUGAUCCAUAUUUAAUGGAUUACCCAACGUGGAAUUUUAUUGUUCCUUUGUUAUUAGCCGAUUAUCCUAGGACUAAAUUGAUAGAUGCUAUUUUCAGCGAGUUGCAAUCGGGUAAACCACCUUCCUGAGUCAGGAAUUGAGAUGAAUUAAUUUUUAGUAGCAUCGAGUACGUUUCUCAAGAAUGGAAGUGACAAGAUAAAAUAGGUAUCACUUUCUAGUUCUUAUCGGUGAUUUUUAAGUCGAGUUUGUUGAUAAGGUAUGAAAAAGUAGCUUGAAUUAAUGCGAGUAUUUUUUUUCAUCGGAGUUGAUUGUAAGUUUGUCCAUAUUUUAGAGAUUAUAAUCUUGGCGCAAUUUAAAAAUCGAGAUUAGAAGAGCCUCGUAAUUCUGUUGAGUUGAGUACCUAAUAAAGAAACGUCCCUAUAGCUACAAUAGCUCCUCUGAAAACAUUUGUGAGAUCGUAACGAAAAAAGACUCACGAUGAAGAACAUUUUAACGGUGGUUGUCUCAUAUUUAAAUAUCGUUUCCAUCUUUGCACAAGCUACUGAAAAACAUAACGAAACUAAAAUGUACGUUCCUGUGCAUAUCUACGACGAUUUAAGACUAUCAUUCGAUAAGAUAUACUACGAGAAUGUGCGUCUGAAGAAAAACAUCGAUGAAGUGAAAGAGAAAAAUCAGAGACUACUCUUCAUCCAAGGUAAAUACGAUGAUUUACAAAGACUAUACGAGGAGUCAAAUCUCGAGAGAUCAAUUCUAAGAGCUAAUCUGUCCAACAGUAACAACAUCAAAUUCCAAUUAGAAUGGAAAGUAAUCAUCCAACAAACCGUAGACUCCUACGAAAGGGAAUUCGAUAACCUGGAAUUACGUCAUGUGAAUUCCACCUUCCAGUUAGACCAAACGCUACUAGACUCCAUCGGCUACAGCGACGAUUACGACCGUAUAGCCGAACGUAGAAGGCAAAGAUGGAUAUUCUACUUGGAAAAUCCUCCUGCAACGUUUUGGGAUUUUCACGAUUUAAUUAAACGGAUUGAAAAAAGCAACUGUACCAAAGAAGAAUUCGCCAAAGGGUUGGCAAUAUUCUAUAAGCGGUUAACGAAGGUCAUUUUCGAUGAAGCGGAGGAAUCUGAUAAAUCGGCGCUUACGAUGUCCAGCUAUAAGGAUGUGAAGUUUGUUAUCCCUUUGCUGGUGACUCCGUAUCCUAAGACUGAAACGAUAACGAGAAUGUUGCGAGAGUGGAGCGAACCUGAAGUACCAAUCACUGGUAUCAAGGAGAAAAAAAAUUAUGUUGGGUAAAUAAUCGAACAUUUUCAUUGUAAGAAUUAUUUCAAGUCAAUAAUAAAUGUAAAUACAUAUUUUUAAAUACACAUAGAUCAUACAUCA
This is an RNA transcript of Planococcus citri (citrus mealybug), 4715 nucleotides long. RefSeq lists it as uncharacterized. The record is from RefSeq and is a predicted model, not a curated record. Lineage: Eukaryota; Metazoa; Arthropoda; Insecta; Hemiptera; Pseudococcidae. The transcript has 12 exons.